This 288-nucleotide long non-coding RNA is filed under the name Elaeis guineensis (African oil palm). RNAcentral describes it as "long non-coding RNA (EGUI_LNC064279)". The record is from RNAcentral. Lineage: Eukaryota; Viridiplantae; Streptophyta; Magnoliopsida; Arecales; Arecaceae.
UUCUUUACUCUCUUGUGAUCCCUCCUCCACUAAAUUCAAGUCUUCUUGUCUGCUACUUUUUUGGAUAUGGCUCCAAAGAUGAAACUUCCCCAAAGAAGGAAAUCAAUCCGAGAGCCUGAGGAAAUUGUCCGAAAGAAAAGGCAUGCUCAGUCUUCCAGUGUUCUCGAUCCAGUUUCAGUACCUGCUCAAGGUCUCUCUCAAUCCUCCAUAAGCCCCAGUGUAAAUCCUCUUUCUGAUAGAAAAGUAGAAAUCGAAAAAAAUAUAGAUUUUCGAUUCUUUGAGAAAGAA